UGUAUGUUGGAGAAGCGCGUGAAGUAGAGAGAAAGAAACGCACGUAUAAAAUUAUUGAUAAAAAAGGAGAGAAGUGAGGAUAAAGUGUGGGAAGUGAGUGCCGUAUGUUGGGAUAUCGCUGAGUGAACCGCGGACAUUGACGGAGCUGGAUAAAUGUUUACUUACUCUGGAAACUCCGAGGGACUCUACCAGAUGACCUGAAUAAAAAUCAUGCUCUCUGUCUGGCCUCCUUGAAUACUAUCUGAAGAGGGUGUGGCAUUGUGCUACUGAUGGCGCAGCUGCCUUUCAGAGUUCAAGGAACAUCACCUGGUAAGC
Long non-coding RNA from Poecilia latipinna (sailfin molly), 315 nucleotides. RefSeq lists it as uncharacterized. The transcript has 3 exons. NCBI's taxonomy places the organism in Eukaryota, Metazoa, Chordata, Actinopteri, Cyprinodontiformes, Poeciliidae. The record is from RefSeq and is a predicted model, not a curated record.